RNAcentral lists this long non-coding RNA (257 nucleotides) under Citrus maxima (pomelo). RNAcentral describes it as "long non-coding RNA (CMAX_LNC000023)". Lineage: Eukaryota; Viridiplantae; Streptophyta; Magnoliopsida; Sapindales; Rutaceae. The record is from RNAcentral.
AUAUUUUGAGGUUAGUACCCGUUCAAUCUCUAUAUUUUUAAAAAUACCUCAAAACAUCCCCGACAUUAAAUUAUUAGCACAUUUCCUCUUACUUUUUGUUGCUUUUGGCUUAAUUUUUACAAUAUUACCCUCUUACAAUUUUUUUUUGGACAUUAGUAAAAAGAAAAAAAUUAAUUAUCAAUUUAAUCUCAAAAAAUAAAAUAGAAACAAAAUUAAUAUAUGUUACUUUUUUGUAACACACUGCUGAGGAAUUAAUA